Molecule: ribosomal RNA, 301 nt
Filed under: uncultured bacterium
Lineage: Bacteria
Description: partial 16S ribosomal RNA
Rfam family: Bacterial small subunit ribosomal RNA
Source: RNAcentral
CAGUAGCCGCGGGAAUACGUAGGUGGCAAGCGUUGUCCGGAAUUAUUGGGCGUAAAGCGCGCGCAGGUGGUUUAAUAAGUCUGAUGUGAAAGCCCACGGCUCAACCGUGGAGGGUCAUUGGAAACUGUUAAACUUGAGUGCAGAAGAGGAGAGUGGAAUUCCACGUGUAGCGGUGAAAUGCGUAGAGAUGUGGAGGAACACCAGUGGCGAAGGCGACUCUCUUGUCUGUAACUGACGCUGAGGAGCGAAAGCGUGGGGAGCGAACAGGAUUAGAUACCCCCGUAGUCCCUGUCUCUUAUAC